UAGAGCUUGGAGAGCUCUGGGUAAGCUGACAAAAUAAGAUUCUGGGGCUGAAACGCUGAGUAUGUGACCUUGAUCUAUA
Molecule: non-coding RNA, 79 nt
Organism: Loxodonta africana (African savanna elephant)
Lineage: Eukaryota; Metazoa; Chordata; Mammalia; Proboscidea; Elephantidae
Source: Rfam